Non-coding RNA from Ictidomys tridecemlineatus (thirteen-lined ground squirrel), 397 nucleotides. The record is from RefSeq and is a predicted model, not a curated record. Lineage: Eukaryota; Metazoa; Chordata; Mammalia; Rodentia; Sciuridae.
GCGACGCGCUGGCCGUUGACCGUGGCGCUCCGGCCCCUCUACGUCCGAGCGGGGACUCGGAGACCGCGGCGACCAGAAACUGCGUUUCACAUUUGGGAGAGUGGAGUUGGGGGGAAACCAGCUCUGACCCUUAGGUCAGUUCAUCCCCCCCACGCCGGGGCCGCACGGUCCCCGCUGUCGCACCAAAACCUGGCCCAAGCACCCAUUUUUCGAUCAUCAUCUUUGAUUGAUCACACAGCGCGAGUUUGAGUUUCCAGUAGGGAAACUGUACUUCUACUCUCCCGCACUUCAUUUAACGUGUGAUUAGUUACAACAAAUCCCCAAAUUCCUUAAUCUUGAAAAUUAUAUGUAAAUAAAAAUCUGUAUGGGAUACAAAAUAAAACAUGUAAGUGGAAAA